Molecule: unclassified non-coding RNA, 179 nt
Organism: Apteryx haastii (Great spotted kiwi)
Lineage: Eukaryota; Metazoa; Chordata; Aves; Apterygiformes; Apterygidae
Source: Ensembl
UUGACAACCCUGGACACUGAUGGCCUCUUUAUCUACAGAGCAGGUACAACCCAGGCACCGGCAGUGCAAGCUUCCGCCACACUGCCCCCUGCCAACGUGCCUCCACCCUGGCCUGGAGAGACCAUCUCUAGAGGCGAGGGGGAGAGCAGUUUCCUUGGUCCAUUCAGUCUUUGACCUCU